AAGUCGUAACAAGGUUUCCGUAGGUAAGUUGUUGCUCCUCUUUCCCCGUCUAUUUUGGAACCUAACUAACGUGAUCGAAAGGUGAACCUGCGGAAGGAUCAUUAUUGAACUGAACGGUAGGAAAACCUCUUACUUAGUACCUUCUCAACCCUUGAAUAUUAUACUCUGUUGCUUUGGCAGGCCGUUCAAGCCCUGCUUGGCUAUCAACCCUCGGUUGAUGAGUGCCUGCCAGAGGAUCCAAACUCUGGAAUUUAUGUCGUCCGAGUACUAUUUUAAUAGUUAAAACUUUCAACAACGGAUCUCUUGGUUCUG
This 312-nucleotide unclassified non-coding RNA is filed under the name air metagenome. Its description in RNAcentral is "partial contains small subunit ribosomal RNA, internal transcribed spacer 1, and 5.8S ribosomal RNA". The record is from RNAcentral.